This 61-nucleotide small nuclear RNA is filed under the name Otolemur garnettii (small-eared galago). RNAcentral's name for it is "U7 small nuclear RNA (ENSOGAG00000022650.1)". It matches the Rfam family "U7 small nuclear RNA". From Rfam's summary of the family: Animal histone pre-mRNAs are spliced by a different mechanism than nuclear pre-mRNAs and self-splicing introns. This processing involves the U7 snRNP, which contains only one RNA species: U7. The record is from Rfam by way of RNAcentral. Lineage: Eukaryota; Metazoa; Chordata; Mammalia; Primates; Galagidae.
UAGUGUUAUAUCUCCUUUGGAUUUGUCUGACAGGCUUUCUGCUUUUCAUCUGAAAACCCCU